CCUACGGGUGGCAGCAGUGAGGAAUAUUGGUCAAUGGCCGUAAGGCUGAACCAGCCAAGUCGCGUGAAGGAAGAAGGAUCUAUGGUUUGUAAACUUCUUUUAUAGGGGAAUAAAGGUAUCCACGUGUGGAUAUUUGCAUGUACCCUAUGAAUAAGGAUCGGCUAACUACGUGCCAGCAGCCGCGGUCAUACGUAGGAUCCGAGCAUUAUCCGGAGUGACUGGGUGUAAAGAGUUGCGUAGGUGGCAUAAUAAGUAGCUAGUGAAAUCUGGUGGCUCAACCAUUCAGACUAUUAGCUAAACUGUUAAGCUCGAGACCGUUAGGGGUAACUGGAAUUUCUAGUGUAGGAGUGAAAUCCGUAGAUAUUAGAAAGAACACCAAUAGCGUAGGCAGGUUACUGGGACGGUUCUGACACUAAGGCACGAAAGCGUAGGGAGCAAACGGGAUUAGAUACCCUUGUAGUC
This 462-nucleotide ribosomal RNA is filed under the name uncultured bacterium. RNAcentral describes it as "partial 16S ribosomal RNA". It matches the Rfam family "Bacterial small subunit ribosomal RNA", at positions 338 to 795 of the family's 1533-position model. The record is from RNAcentral.